UGGAGGAAUGUAUAGCAAUAGCUGAUUGCACCAACAAAUAGUUGAUGCAAUAUUGACUCUGUCAAAUAAAAUUCUAGGUAGAAUUAUGAUAAUGACAUUGUCUGCCUAUAUGUCUUGACCAAAUUACGUGCCAGCAGUCGCGGUAAUACGUAGAAGACUAGUGUUAUUCAUCUUUAAUAGGUUUAAAGGGUACCUAGACGGUAAAUCAAGCCUUCACAGGGACUAAUUUACUAGAGUUACUUACGAGGGGGUAUUAAAGUACUGCAGGUGUAGAGAUGAAAUUCUGUCAUACCUCUUUUCAAAAGAAAAAUUAUGGCACAGGUAUAGGUGAAAGCAUCCCCUUAUGUGAUAACUGACGUUGAAGGACGAAGGCUUUGUGUCGCGAACAGGAUUAGAUACCCCNGUAGUCAAAGCAGAAAAUGAUGAAUGUCAUAGAUUAGAUAAAUAGUUUAUUCUAUAAAUGAAAAUGUAAGCAUUCCACCUCAAGAGUAAUUUGGCAACAUUGGAACUGAAAUCAUUAGACCGUUUCUGAAACCAGUAGUGAAGUAUGUUGUUUAAUUUGAUGAUCCGCAAAAAACCUUACCACAAUUUGAAUAUUUAUAUCUAUCUUUUUUUUUUUCGUAAAAAAAUAAAAAGGUAAUAUAUUUACAAGCGUUGCACGGCUGUCUUCAGUUAAUGUCGCGAGACUUUGGUUAGUUCCAUUAAAUUAACGUAAACCCUUACUUUAUUUUUAUAUGAAGUAGUUCCCCGCUAUAUUGGAUAUGAUAACAGGGACUA
This 777-nucleotide ribosomal RNA is filed under the name Lepraria elobata. RNAcentral describes it as "partial small subunit ribosomal RNA". It matches the Rfam family "Bacterial small subunit ribosomal RNA", at positions 354 to 1182 of the family's 1533-position model. The record is from RNAcentral. Lineage: Eukaryota; Fungi; Ascomycota; Lecanoromycetes; Lecanorales; Stereocaulaceae.